Molecule: ribosomal RNA, 253 nt
Filed under: uncultured bacterium
Lineage: Bacteria
Description: partial 16S ribosomal RNA
Rfam family: Bacterial small subunit ribosomal RNA
Source: RNAcentral
UACGUAGGGGGCAAGCGUUGUCCGGAAUCAUUGGGCGUAAAGCGCGUGUAGGCGGCCAAGUAAGUCCGUUCUGAAAGCCCGGGGCUCAACCCCGGGAGGCGGAUGGAUACUGCUUGGCUCGAGUCCGGAAGAGGCGAGUGGAAUUCCCGGUGUAGCGGUGAAAUGCGCAGAUAUCGGGAGGAACACCAAUGGCUAAGGCAGCUCGCUGGGACGGUACUGACGCUGAGACGCGAAAGCGUGGGGAGCAAACAGG